UGCCUGUAAGACUGGGAUAACUCCGGGAAACCGGACCUAAUACCGGAUAGUUCCUUGAACCGCAUGGUUCAAGGAUGAAAGACGGUUUCGGCUGUCACUUACAGAUGGACCCGCGGCGCAUUAGCUAGUUGGUGGGGUAAUGGCUCACCAAGGCGACGAUGCGUAGCCGACCUGAGAGGGUGAUCGGCCACACUGGGACUGAGACACGGCCCAGACUCCUACGGGAGGCAGCAGUAGGGAAUCUUCCGCAAUGGACGAAAGUCUGACGGAGCAACGCCGCGUGAGUGAUGAAGGUUUUCGGAUCGUAAAGCUCUGUUGUUAGGGAAGAACAAGUGCGAGAGUAACUGCUCGCACCUUGACGGUACCUAACCAGAAAGCCACGGCUAACUACGUGCCAGCAGCCGCGGUAAUACGUAGGUGGCAAGCGUUGUCCGGAAUUAUUGGGCGUAAAGGGCUCGCAGGCGGUUUCUUAAGUCUGAUGUGAAAGCCCCCGGCUCANCCGGGGAGGGUCAUUGGAAACUGGGAAACUUGAGUGCAGAAGAGGAGAUUGGAAUUCCCCGUGUAGCGGUGAAAUGCGUAUAGAUGUGGAGGACCACCAUGGGGAAGGCGACUCUCUGGGUCUGUAACUGACGCUGAGGAGCGAAAGCGUGGGGAGCGAACCGGAUUAUAUACCCUGGUAGUCCACGCCGUAAACGAUGAGUGCUAAGUGUUAGGGGGUUUCCGCCCCUUAGUGCUGCAGCUAACGCAUUAAGCACUCCGCCUGGGGAGUACGGUCGCAAGACUGAAACUCAAAGGAAUUGACGGGGGCCCGCACAAGCGGUGGAGCAUGUGGUUUAAUUCGAAGCAACGCGAAGAACCUUACCAGGUCUUGACAUCCUCUGACAACCCUAGAGAUAGGGCUUUCCCUUCGGGGACAGAGUGACAGGUGGUGCAUGGUUGUCGUCAGCUCGUGUCGUGAGAUGUUGGGUUAAGUCCCGCAACGAGCGCAACCCUUGAUCUUAGUUGCCAGCAUUCAGUUGGGCACUCUAAGGUGACUGCCGGUGACAAACCGGAGGAAGGUGGGGAUGACGUCAAAUCAUCAUGCCCCUUAUGACCUGGGCUACACACGUGCUACAAUGGACAGAACAAAGGGCUGCAAGACCGCAAGGUUUAGCCAAUCCCAUAAAUCUGUUCUCAGUUCGGAUCGCAGUCUGCAACUCGACUGCG
This 1206-nucleotide ribosomal RNA is filed under the name Bacillus safensis. RNAcentral's name for it is "bacterial SSU rRNA". It matches the Rfam family "Bacterial small subunit ribosomal RNA", at positions 127 to 1320 of the family's 1533-position model. Lineage: Bacteria; Bacillati; Bacillota; Bacilli; Caryophanales; Bacillaceae. The record is from RNAcentral.